This 443-nucleotide ribosomal RNA is filed under the name uncultured bacterium. RNAcentral's name for it is "partial 16S ribosomal RNA". It matches the Rfam family "Bacterial small subunit ribosomal RNA", at positions 338 to 795 of the family's 1533-position model. The record is from RNAcentral.
CCUACGGGAGGCAGCAGUGGGGAAUAUUGGGCAAUGGGCGCAAGCCUGACCCAGCAACGCCGCGUGAAGGAAGAAGGCUUUCGGGUUGUAAACUUCUUUUCGCAGGGACGAAGAAAGUGACGGUACCGGAGGAAUAAGCAACGGCUCACUACGGGCCAGCAGCCGCGGUAAUACGUAGGUGGCAAGCGUUAGCCGGAUUGAUUGGGUGUAAAGGGCGUGUAGGCGGGAGAGCAAGUCAGAUGUUAAAACUCAGGCCUCAACCCUGAGCCUGCAUUUGAAACUGUGUUUCUUGAGUGCUGGAGAGGCAAUCGGAAUUCCGUGUGUAGCGGUGAAAUGCGUAGUUAUACGGAGGAACACCAGUGGCGAAGGCGGCUUGCUGGACCGUAACUGACGCUGCGGCGCGAAAGCGUGGGUAGCAAACAGGAUUAGAUACCCUAGUAGUC